AGUGAACGCUGGCGGUAGGCCUAACACAUGCAAGUCGAACGGCAGCACAGUAAGAGCUUGCUCUUACGGGUGGCGAGUGGCGGACGGGUGAGGAAUACAUCGGAAUCUACUUUUUCGUGGGGGAUAACGUAGGGAAACUUACGCUAAUACCGCGUACGACCUACGGGUGAAAGCAGGGGAUCUUCGGACCUUGCGCGAUUGAAUGAGCCGAUGUCGGAUUAGCUGGUUGGCGGGGUAAAGGCCCACCAAGGCGACGAUCCGUAGCUGGUCUGAGAGGAUGAUCAGCCACACUGGAACUGAGACACGGUCCAGACUCCUACGGGAGGCAGCAGUGGGGAAUAUUGGACAAUGGGCGCAAGCCUGAUCCAGCCAUACCGCGUGGGUGAAGAAGGCCUUCGGGUUGUAAAGCCCUUUUGUUGGGAAAGAAAAGCAGCAGGUUAAUACCCCGCUGUUCUGACGGUACCCAAAGAAUAAGCACCGGCUAACUUCGUG
RNAcentral lists this ribosomal RNA (492 nucleotides) under uncultured bacterium. RNAcentral describes it as "partial 16S ribosomal RNA". It matches the Rfam family "Bacterial small subunit ribosomal RNA", at positions 29 to 507 of the family's 1533-position model. The record is from RNAcentral.